GCAUUCUAAUAUUUACAAUACUUUUACUUAUUCAAUUAAAUAAUAUAUAUUCAUGACAUUUCUCUAACUUAAGUUAGUUAAAUUUAUAAGGUUUGUAUCAGGAAAAAAAAAAGGUGUAUUUUUAAACUAAUGGUACACCCAAAUGCCGAGCAUGACAUAACCAUUUUCAAUAUUAUACUGGCUAUUAAAUAUUAAAAAUAAAAAAUUGUUUAAGUAACUUAAUUUUAAUUUUUUUAUACAUGCUAUUACAUGAGUUACCGCGUAUUGCGUGUAUAAACGAUGUGUUUUGCCAUUCUAUGGUGGGGGUGACGCCAAUGUGACGGCUCGUUUUUCGAAACUAAGUCCGAAUUCCAGUAGUUGUUAUCUAUCUCAGUGGUAUAACCGUUAUAUGUAGUAACGGGGAUGGUGGUUGUUAUGUCGAUCACGUGGUAGACAAUUCGGGCGGCCAUGUAUUAGGUUUAUCAGACAUAACCGACAGCACAAGCACAUACACAGGCUCAGGCGUCUGGCCCAGAAGCCCCCAAAUUAUACUGCUCAUAUUUUUUAUUGGUAUACACAUAAACAACACAAUGACUGAUUUUAAACAUACAGAACUCACUAUGCUUUAAGUUUUCAAUACUAAAACAACGUUUUCUUCUGCGUGUUUCAAAUAAAUUUAAUAUUUUAAUAUCCAUUGCAGUAAACUCUUUACU
Molecule: non-coding RNA, 692 nt
Organism: Cinara cedri
Lineage: Eukaryota; Metazoa; Arthropoda; Insecta; Hemiptera; Aphididae
Source: the annotation of a GenBank genome assembly